Populus trichocarpa (black cottonwood) is the source of this 1130-nucleotide long non-coding RNA. RefSeq lists it as uncharacterized. The transcript has 2 exons. The record is from RefSeq and is a predicted model, not a curated record. Lineage: Eukaryota; Viridiplantae; Streptophyta; Magnoliopsida; Malpighiales; Salicaceae.
ACUACAACCCCACAAACACGGUGAGAAAAACCACACAUUUCCAACAUCAUCAUCAGCAACAACACAAGCAAGAAGAGAAGAGAAGAAAAAAUGAACAAGAAUAAAAUAUUCAAACUAGCAAAAAGGUUUAGAGGGAGAGCAAAGAACUGUAUAAGGAUAGCUAGAGAAAGAGUUGAGAAGGCCUUGUAGUAUUCUUACAGAGAUCGCUUGUUACAGGUGGAUUCGGUUUGAAGAUUUAAAUAGAGGGAAAUCAACAAAGGAAGAAAUUACUGUUACAAGCAAAACACACCGUUUGACCAACCCUAGUACCCGUACUUUUUUAAUAAUUGUAAUUCUUCUUUCUAAGAAGGCACUAGAAUUUAGUAAUUUACUCCCGCCUUCUACGGUGCCUAUAUAUAAGGGCCGUUGCAAGAAUGAAGUAAUGAAAAAAGAGAGAUUAUUCUGUCCUUUUAAGCAAGUCCUUUUUCUCUCCUUAUUCCUUUCGUCUGGUUCACCGACCUUCUCUCAUUCUGUUUGUCGUCUUCUCUAAAUUCUUAGUCCUGCUCCAUCGCCGCAACAAGAAGAGGGACAUACGUUCUCUUUGGAUCCAACGCAUCAAUGCUGGCACCCGCCAACAUGGUGUUAAUUAUGGUAAUUUCAUGCAUGGACUGCUGAAGGAGAGUUUUCAUCUGAACAGAAAAGUCUUAUCAGAGAAAUCCAUGCACGAACCAUAUAGUUUCAAGGCCCUGGUAGACAUGUCCCGCAACGCCUUUCCUGGAAACAAAAAUGUGGUGCAUCGUCCCAGGAAAGUGGACAUUUCUUCUGUUAAUGUGUAGUUCUUUAAUUGGGUACCUUGGCAAUUCACUCUUUUUUUAGCCCUUCAGAGCUUGUCUGAAACAAAAGCUUUAAAUAGGUAGCUUUGUAUUUCCUGGGGUAGUUUAGACCUCCCUGUCUCUGGAUAUAUGGAUGAAUGAAAACAGCUAGCCAUUGUGAAGAAAUAGAAGUGAUAUCUGGCCAGUUACAUUUCAAUAUUUAAGGAUGCACAAUGAAGUGAAGAAACAUGAGAAAUUCUUCAAUUUUCAAAAUGAAGAAUAAUUGUACUUUCAUGACAAAGAAACUAAUCAUCUUAGAAAUUUUUUCCCCUGCUGUAA